GCGCAGGCUGCAGGGAGAAAUACAGAGAAUUUCACAAACCCUUCAGCUUCAACCCCACAGCCACCACCAAGCUCCCUCAACAGACACUGGAAGCGUAAUAUCUGGUCCUUUUACCCAGGUCCUAGAAUCUCUUCCUCCUGAAUGGUUCACGGCUUGCUGGAAGAAGAGUUUUCACAUGCUGUGUUGGGGACUUAGGUUGAAGCUGAACUCUUUCAAGAAACCUGGGAAUAGGUCAGAGGAUCCUGGAAAUUUAUAACAAACCAUGUGGCCCGAUAUUUCGUGAAAAGAUGUGGUGAAUGAAGAAAAACUCAUCAAAUGAAACAAACAAACAAAAAAAAACCAUUGGGUGAAGACAAGUACAAGACAAAGGAUGAAACUUGACUUUCCUGACUUUUCUGCAUCUGUACUUCUCGUCCUGAAGGUGUCUGGAGACCCUUCCUCUAAUUGACCAGUUCCUGCCCGAGACCAUCUUUUAUACAAAUUCCCAGGCCCUCUAUGUUCACUUCUCUCCUUGAUCCACUUUUGACUCUAGAAUUUUCUACCUUACUUUGAGGGAACACACUCCCCCCCUCUCCAUUUUCCAGAUCCCUUUUAAGUAUCAUCUUUCUUAAUUAGAAUAUAAAAUCCUGGAGAACAGCUUUUGCCUUACAUUUGUGUUUUCAGUGCUUAUCAUAGUGCCUGCGCAUGUAGUAGGUGUUUAACAAAUGCUCUAUCUGGAUUAAUAAAUAAAUAAUUUAUAAUAACAAUAAAAAUAAAUUAAAAGUAAAUAAAAUA
Long non-coding RNA from Antechinus flavipes (yellow-footed antechinus), 774 nucleotides. RefSeq lists it as uncharacterized. The transcript is spliced from 3 exons. The record is from RefSeq and is a predicted model, not a curated record. Lineage: Eukaryota; Metazoa; Chordata; Mammalia; Dasyuromorphia; Dasyuridae.